RNAcentral lists this long non-coding RNA (566 nucleotides) under Daucus carota (carrot). RNAcentral's name for it is "long non-coding RNA (DCAR_LNC000815)". The record is from RNAcentral. Lineage: Eukaryota; Viridiplantae; Streptophyta; Magnoliopsida; Apiales; Apiaceae.
CUCAAUAUAGUUAAAAGAUCUUCUUGAAAUAUACUCUAAUCGCCUGCAGAAACCCACCCUUUCAUCUCGAUUUAUAUCUGUAAAAUUCAGGAAAAACUGAUGAACAUGAUACUCUACUGGGCAAAAAGCGUUGCCUUAUUGUUUGAUUCAUGGAAGACUAAUCCAAUAUUUGCCAUGGCCAUAAUUUUUCUAUUUUCCGCCCUCGUCGGCGUCUUCAAGUACCUGACGGACUCCUUGAUCAGAACCAAGCUUCUUGAUCCUCUGCUGAAAUCUAAACUGAGGUAUGGUGGGAAAUUGUCGAAAUUCCUUGGCGCUAUAGCGUUCCUAGUCAAUUGUGCUGUCGCAUACAUGAUAGGCCUUGCAUUUGGAUAUUUCAUGAACAAAAGCUGAUCUGCAAGUUUUGUUGAUAAUCCAGGUGCAGAUUCGGUAUUCUAUCCCCUACAUUUCUAUGUAAAAUGUAUUGUAUUUUAUACUGCAUCUUGUUGUUGGCUGUUUGUGUGGAAUUUGACAUAUACCUUGUACUUUAGUACUCCAUUUUGUAAAUUGAUUUUUGAAUCACUUAAAAA